GGAGACGUGCCGGAGUGGAUGAAUGGGCCGAUCUUGAAAAUCGCUGUAACCUGUAAAGGUUACCAGAGGUUCGAAUCCUCUCGUUUCCGCAA
This 92-nucleotide transfer RNA is filed under the name Candidatus Woesebacteria bacterium RIFCSPHIGHO2_01_FULL_38_9b. RNAcentral's name for it is "tRNA-Ser". It matches the Rfam family "tRNA". From Rfam's summary of the family: Transfer RNA (tRNA) molecules are approximately 80 nucleotides in length. Their secondary structure includes four short double-helical elements and three loops (D, anti-codon, and T loops). Further hydrogen bonds mediate the characteristic L-shaped molecular structure. tRNAs have two regions of fundamental functional importance: the anti-codon, which is responsible for specific mRNA codon recognition, and the 3' end, to which the tRNAs corresponding amino acid is attached (by aminoacyl-tRNA synthetases). tRNAs cope with the degeneracy of the genetic code in two manners: having more than one tRNA (with a specific anti-codon) for a particular amino acid; and 'wobble' base-pairing, i.e. permitting non-standard base-pairing at the 3rd anti-codon position. The record is from RNAcentral. Lineage: Bacteria; Candidatus Woeseibacteriota.